CGCGGUAUUUUGACCGUGCGAAGGUAGCAUAAUCAUUAGUCUUUUAAUUGGAGGCUUGUAUGAAGGGUUGGACGAGAAAUUGGCUGUCUUUGUAGAAAUGAUGGAAUUUGACUUUUAAGUGAGAAGGCUUAAAUGUUCUAAAGGGACGAUAAGACCCUAUAAAGUUUGACGGUCUGGGUUUUAAAAGAUAAAUUGGUUAACUAGAGUUUGUUAGGAACAGGGUGUUUUGUUGGGGCGGUAAGAAUAUAAGUGAUUUAACUGUUUUAUAGUUAGCAACAAAGGUAGUUGGGUUUAUGAUCCUUGUUAAAGAUUGUUAGAAUAAAUUACUUUAGGGAUAACAGCGUAAUUUUUUUUGAGAGUUCUUAUCGACAAAGAAGUUUGCGACCUCGAUGUUGAAUUAAAAGUUCUUUGUGGCGUAGCAGUUAGGAGAGAAGGUCUGUUCGACCUUUAA
RNAcentral lists this ribosomal RNA (451 nucleotides) under Tenuibranchiurus glypticus. Its description in RNAcentral is "partial 16S large subunit ribosomal RNA". It matches the Rfam family "Archaeal large subunit ribosomal RNA", at positions 2009 to 2660 of the family's 2987-position model. The record is from RNAcentral. Lineage: Eukaryota; Metazoa; Arthropoda; Malacostraca; Decapoda; Parastacidae.